Molecule: ribosomal RNA, 731 nt
Filed under: Escherichia coli
Lineage: Bacteria; Pseudomonadati; Pseudomonadota; Gammaproteobacteria; Enterobacterales; Enterobacteriaceae
Description: partial 23S ribosomal RNA
Rfam family: Bacterial large subunit ribosomal RNA
Source: RNAcentral
CAUAGGUUAAUGAGGCGAACCGGGGGAACUGAAACAUCUAAGUACCCCGAGGAAAAGAAAUCAACCGAGAUUCCCCCAGUAGCGGCGAGCGAACGGGGAGCAGCCCAGAGCCUGAAUCAGUGUGUGUGUUAGUGGAAGCGUCUGGAAAGGCGCGCGAUACAGGGUGACAGCCCCGUACACAAAAAUGCACAUGCUGUGAGCUCGAUGAGUAGGGCGGGACACGUGGUAUCCUGUCUGAAUAUGGGGGGACCAUCCUCCAAGGCUAAAUACUCCUGACUGACCGAUAGUGAACCAGUACCGUGAGGGAAAGGCGAAAAGAACCCCGGCGAGGGGAGUGAAAAAGAACCUGAAACCGUGUACGUACAAGCAGUGGGAGCACAGAGCAAUCUGUGUGACUGCGUACCUUUUGUAUAAUGGGUCAGCGACUUAUAUUCUGUAGCAAGGUUAACCGAAUAGGGGAGCCGAAGGGAAACCGAGUCUUAACUGGGCGUUAAGUUGCAGGGUAUAGACCCGAAACCCGGUGAUCUAGCCAUGGGCAGGUUGAAGGUUGGGUAACACUAACUGGAGGACCGAACCGACUAAUGUUGAAAAAUUAGCGGAUGACUUGUGGCUGGGGGUGAAAGGCCAAUCAAACCGGGAGAUAGCUGGUUCUCCCCGAAAGCUAUUUAGGUAGCGCCUCGUGAAUUCAUCUCCGGGGGUAGAGCACUGUUUCGGCAAGGGGGUCAUCCCGA